This 408-nucleotide ribosomal RNA is filed under the name uncultured bacterium. RNAcentral describes it as "bacterial SSU rRNA". It matches the Rfam family "Bacterial small subunit ribosomal RNA", at positions 355 to 761 of the family's 1533-position model. The record is from RNAcentral.
UAAGGAAUAUUGGUCAAUGGACGCAAGUCUGAACCAGCCAUGCCGCGUGAAGGAUGAAGGUCCUCUGGAUUGUAAACUUCUUUUAUCUGGGACGAAAACGGGAUUUUUAUCUCAAUUGACGGUACCAGAGGAAUAAGCACCGGCUAACUCCGUGCCAGCAGCCGCGGUAAUACGGAGGGUGCGAGCGUUAUCCGGAUUUACUGGGUUUAAAGGGUGCGUAGGUGGGCUUAUAAGUCAGUGGUGAAAUCUCCGAGCUUAACUUGGAAACUGCCGGUGAUACUAUAGGUCUUGAAUUAUCUGGAGGUAAGCGGAAUAUGACAUGUAGCGGUCAAAUGCUUAGAUAUGACAUAGAACACCAAUUGCGAAGGCAGCUUACUACAUAUAAAUUGACGCUGAGGCACGAAAGCG